AAAACAUCGCCUCUUGACAAAACAUAAGAGGUCCAGCCUGCCCAGUGACAAAGUUCAACGGCCGCGGUACCCUAACCGUGCGAAGGUAGCAUAAUCACUUGUUCUUUAAAUGAGGACUCGUAUCAACGGCACUACGAGGGCUAUACUGUCUCCUUUUUCUAAUCAGUGAAACUGAUCUCCCCGUGAAGAAGCGGGGAUCAAAAUAUAAGACGAGAAGACCCCAUGGAGCUUUAAACUCACUAUACACCUCUGUGCCUUUAUGCCACUAGACACAAGAGAUCUGCGUACUAGUUUUAGGUUGGGGGGACCACGGAGUAUAAUUUAACCUCCAUAACAAAUGGGCUAACACCCUUAUCUACGAGACACAACUCUAAGAAUUACUAAACUAAUGCUUAUGACCCGAUAUUCGAUCAAUGAACCAAGUUACCCUGGGGAUAACAGCGCAAUCUACUUCAAGAGCCCAUAUCGACAAGUGGGUUUACGACCUCGAUGUUGGAUCAGGGUAUCCCGGUGGUGCAGCCGCUACCGACGGUUCGUUUGUUCAACGAUUAAAACCCUACGUGAUCU
This 567-nucleotide ribosomal RNA is filed under the name Rana graeca (Greek frog). RNAcentral describes it as "partial 16S ribosomal RNA". It matches the Rfam family "Bacterial large subunit ribosomal RNA", at positions 1810 to 2606 of the family's 2925-position model. Lineage: Eukaryota; Metazoa; Chordata; Amphibia; Anura; Ranidae. The record is from RNAcentral.